This 24-nucleotide ribosomal RNA is filed under the name uncultured Russulaceae. RNAcentral's name for it is "partial 28S ribosomal RNA". Lineage: Eukaryota; Fungi; Basidiomycota; Agaricomycetes; Russulales; Russulaceae. The record is from RNAcentral.
ACCUCAAAUCGGGUGAGACUCCCC